CCUACGGGAGGCUGCAGUGGGGAAUAUUGGGCAAUGGGCGCAAGCCUGACCCAGCAACGCCGCGUGAAGGAAGAAGGCUCUCGGGUUGUAAACUUCCUUUCUCAGGGACGCAGCAAGUGACGGUACUUGAGGAAUAAGCCAUGGCUAACUACGUGCCAGCAGCCGCGGGAAUACGUAGGUGGCAAGCGUUAUCCGGAUUUACUGGGUGUAAAGGGCGUGUAGGCGGGACUGCAAGCCAGAUGUGAAAACCACGGGCUCAACCUGUGGCCUGCAUUUGAAACUGUAGUUCUUGAGUACUGGAGAGGCAGACGGAAUGCGUGGUGUAGCGGUGAAAUGCGUAGAUAUUAGGCAGAACACCAGUGGCGAAGGCGGUAUGCUGGACAGCAACUGACGCUGAGGCGCGAAAGCGUGGGGAGCGAACAGGAUUAGAUACCCCAGUAGUC
This 443-nucleotide ribosomal RNA is filed under the name uncultured bacterium. RNAcentral's name for it is "partial 16S ribosomal RNA". It matches the Rfam family "Bacterial small subunit ribosomal RNA", at positions 338 to 795 of the family's 1533-position model. The record is from RNAcentral.